UUUCUCAGACAAACUAGGUCAACGCACAAAGACUGAAGCAUAUUUUGAAUUAGAUGAUAACAUUACACUUGUGUUGAAGCCUAAUAGUAAAGUGCCUUUUGUGACAAUACAGCAAGUGGACGAUGAAUUGGAUAGAUUGGCAAAAAACAGAAUCAUUGAAAAUGUGGAUUACGCGAAAUGGGAAGCUCUGAUUAUGUAUCAAACAGAAAA
Octopus sinensis (East Asian common octopus) is the source of this 210-nucleotide long non-coding RNA. RefSeq lists it as uncharacterized. The record is from RefSeq and is a predicted model, not a curated record. Lineage: Eukaryota; Metazoa; Mollusca; Cephalopoda; Octopoda; Octopodidae. The transcript has 3 exons.